AGUUGCCACCCAAGUCUAUAGACCAAGAACUAAAGUGUCAUAAAAAUAAGAGAUGUUACCAUACCUUCAAAAUACCAGUCUUACACAGGGUGGAAUGACGUUCAAUAACCUGGUAACCAAGCGACUAUAAUCUUGUAAUGGAGUGGCCAUAACUGAAAUAUAACCUCCUAACCAAGUGACUAUAACAACCAUAAAAGAAACCCAUUGAAACAUAUGAACAUGACAUCUAGUUUCGAAGAUCUUGUCGCGAUACUCUUAACCGCGCAAACAGAUGACAAAUCACGUAAACUUUUUAGGCACAGUUGCAUUUUAAAAUUACAGAUAGAAAUAUAGGAUGACAUCAUUGUUUCCUCACACAAAAAAUAAGAUGCUUCAAACAAGUACAUAUACCAUAAACACCCGUCACCUGCGAUAUGCCACAACUGCUUAUACAUGUGCAACCACAAUUGAAUUCCACAGUAAAUAGCAAAUCCCAUAGAUAACCAAAAAAGGCACACUCCAGACUGAAACACAAGAGAAAAUCAUCUCACUACUAGAAACAACCCAAUCAUAGUCACAUGAACAAAGACGGGUAUCCUAAAUUCAACAGCUUAAGGCUUAAUAACAGGCGGUUUUCAUUCUAAGCCGUCUGAGAAAGGGUCAUAGUUGGCUUCAGAGUAGAGCCAACAGAGAGAAAUGUUGUAUGUGCAGAACUUGAUUCGGGAGCUUGACCCCAAGUGUCCUUCUCAAGACACAUGGGCUCAUGUUUGGUGGCCUACCCACUCAUCACAUAAAUACUAGUCAUGCUUGUGCAUAGCAUGAUGGUCCACUUUGAUUCUAUUAGUCAAUUUCAGUACUGAAAACACAUAUUUCAGUUCAGUCUUGGAAGGGAAAAGUAAACACACACGGCUUCACAAAAUUCAUGUCGAUGGGAUUGUUCUUUUGCUCCGAACAUUGUAA
RNAcentral lists this long non-coding RNA (939 nucleotides) under Hordeum vulgare. RNAcentral describes it as "long non-coding RNA (HVUL_LNC002192)". Lineage: Eukaryota; Viridiplantae; Streptophyta; Magnoliopsida; Poales; Poaceae. The record is from RNAcentral.